CCGUUACCCGGCUCUGCCGGGCGGACGAGGAGCCGCUCUGGUCGAGCCGGUCCCCCGGCGUUCUACGCGCUGCGUCCCCGCCCAGCUCCCCCGCGAAGGCCUGGGGCGACCGGCCGAGCCUUCCCGGGCGGCUCCGCCGCGUGCGCGGGGCGCCCCGAAUCUCGGGGUGGACCUGACCCGCUGUCUUCCCGGAGCCUUGGGGUGGGGCUGGGGCCUGGCCGACUGGGCUCAGUGAGGACAGAGGGCUGCAGAGUCAGGCAGGUGGGCCCUCGGGGUCUUCAUCGAGUGUGUGUGUGUGUGUGUGCGCGCGCGCGCGCGCGGCACUUAGUCGAGUCCAACUCUGCGACCCCAUGACUGUAGCCCACCGGGCUGUGGGCUCCUCUGUCCCUGGAAUUUUCCAGGCAAGAAUACUGGAGUGGGUUCUACUCCCUUCUCCAGGGGAUCUUCCUGAUUCAGGGAUCCAACCCGGGUCUCCUGCAUUGCAGGCAGAGUCUCUGCCGUCACCAGGAAAGCCAUUGGACCUAUACGUUUGAAAGUCGCUCAGUCGUGCCCGACUCUUUGCGACCCAGAGUCGGUAUAGUCCGUGGGAUUCUACAGGCCAGGAUACUGGGGUCAACAGCCAGUUACAAACUACGAUGGAAGAAGCGCAACAGCAAAGAGCCGUCAAUCACAGGCCCCACAGGACGAGCGCACUGCUUCUCCCAGAGGAAGUCACCUCAGCGACUUAGCCCACGAGAAACCAUCCUCACCCUGAACUCGCAGUCUUUCCCAGGGAGAUUUCAUUAAAAACAAAAAAAAACCCCAAACCUCUCACCUUCCUCACUUUUCUCUAUAAAGUAACCAUUCCUCUCCUUUUUGUUGGACUUACCUAUGGCUUUUGCUAUAGCCUGCGUGUCCCAAAUCGCAGUUCCUGUGAUGUUCCAAAGUCCACUUUUGCUGGUAAAAUAACUGAGUGCUUAUUUCUGAGGUCAGCAGACUCCAUCGUCCUCAGGAUGCAGCAAAGAGCACUGCAUUGCUGUGAGCUUGUUUCCCCUCAACACACGGGGCAAAGGAGGCCUGGGCUGCAGAGGGUUGCUCGAUCUGGGGCCCCGCCCAGUGGUCUCUGCAGCCCCUCCCUUGGGCUUUCCAGGUCCCAAUGCCCACUCCCCCCAUGGGGGAACCCACUGCUUCCUGCCAUCCCAGCUAUGACCUUCCUGGGCCUCAGGAGGGCUCCCCAGCAC
Molecule: long non-coding RNA, 1220 nt
Organism: Bos taurus (domestic cattle)
Lineage: Eukaryota; Metazoa; Chordata; Mammalia; Artiodactyla; Bovidae
Source: Ensembl